GGAACAUUUGUGUUGGGUAAAAAGGACAGAUGAGACACACGUGUGUUUAUCCGGUGCAGAGUGACUGAUGAAGCAAUGCUGAAUGCUUUGAAGCUUUUGUGGUGGAGCAGGUGAUAGCAGCAUUUGUGGAAAAAAGGGAAAACCUGAAACAAAAAUAUAAAGUAAGAUCAUUUUGUUUCUUCUAAUACAGAAGUCAAAUAACAUUGUGCUGUUAAAAUUACUGCUUUUGUAUUGUGUUUGUGCAUCUUUGCAGGAUCUGAAAUGUCUGCAGACUGGUGUGAGCUGUGAAGAUGCAUCAUUUUCAGCAUCCUAGAAAUGGUCCAGUGCUAUGAAUGAGACGCACCAUCACUCCACCUCUUACUGCCUCAUCAGGACCGGAUGUUGCUGUGGUCUCUUCAUCCUCAGUGAGCCCAGAGCCAGCGAGAGCAUCUAGAGGAAGACCAAAAGACUAUGAGGAUGUGAUUUUGGUCAAGUUUGUUCUGCUGGUUUCUGUUCAAACAACAUCAGUCAAUGAAACCCGAGUUUCAGAAGCUUCAAAAGAAUCAUCAAAUAAUAUCAUGAAGAAUCUGAAAGUCAGGCUCUAUUGACUGAUAUUGUAUGAACACAAACCAGCAGGACAAACUUGACCAAA
Molecule: long non-coding RNA, 631 nt
Organism: Sinocyclocheilus grahami
Lineage: Eukaryota; Metazoa; Chordata; Actinopteri; Cypriniformes; Cyprinidae
Exons: 3
Source: RefSeq, a predicted model, not a curated record